UAAGGAAUAUUGGUCAAUGGACGCAAGUCUGAACCAGCCAUGCCGCGUGAAGGAUGAAGGUCCUCUGGAUUGUAAACUUCUUUUGAAUGGGACGAAACCCUGGUAUUUUUAUCAGAUUGACGGUACCAUUAGAAUAAGCACCGGCUAACUCCGUGCCAGCAGCCGCGGUAAUACGGAGGGUGCAAGCGUUAUCCGGAUUCACUGGGUUUAAAGGGUGCGUAGGUGGGUUUGAAAGUCAGUGGUGAAAUCUCCGGGCUCAACCCGGAAACUGCCAUUGAUACUACAGGUCUUGAAUUUUCUGGAGGAUAGCGGAAUAUGUCAUGUAGCGGUGAAAUGCUUAGAUAUGACAUAGAACACCAAUUGCGAAGGCAGCUAUCUACAGGGAUAUUGACACUGAGGCACGAAAGCGUGGGGAUCAAACAG
Molecule: ribosomal RNA, 423 nt
Filed under: uncultured bacterium
Lineage: Bacteria
Description: bacterial SSU rRNA
Rfam family: Bacterial small subunit ribosomal RNA
Source: RNAcentral